This 427-nucleotide ribosomal RNA is filed under the name uncultured bacterium. Its description in RNAcentral is "partial 16S ribosomal RNA". It matches the Rfam family "Bacterial small subunit ribosomal RNA", at positions 354 to 796 of the family's 1533-position model. The record is from RNAcentral.
GUGGGGAAUAUUGGGCAAUGGGGGCAACCCUGACCCAGCGACGCCGAGUGGGUGAAGAAAUCCCUCGGGAUGUAAAGCCCUGUUGUAUGGGAAGAGCAGAAGACGGUACCAUACGAGGAAGACCCGGCAAACUACGUGCCAGCAGCCGCGGUAAUACGUAGGGGGAAAGCGUUGUCCGGAAUUACUGGGCGUAAAGCGCACGCAGGCUGAAUUAUAAGUCGGUAGUCAAAUAAGGAGGCUCAACUUCCGGAUAUCUAUCGAUACUGUAAAUCUAGAGUAUGUGAGAGGGAAGCGGAAUUCCCGGUGUAGCGGUGAAAUUCUUAGAUAUCGGGAGGAACACCAGUGGCGAAGGCGGCUUCCUGGCACAAUACUGACGCUCAUGUGCGAAAGCUAGGGCAGCGAACGGGAUUAGAAACCCUAGUAGUCC